This 1129-nucleotide long non-coding RNA is filed under the name Triticum aestivum (bread wheat). RNAcentral's name for it is "long non-coding RNA (TAES_LNC013971)". The record is from RNAcentral. Lineage: Eukaryota; Viridiplantae; Streptophyta; Magnoliopsida; Poales; Poaceae.
CAGCAUAAUGUCCAUAUCGUCUUAUAGCGCCUUUAUGGAAGUUGAUAUUACAAAGCAUAUAUUGUACAAUCUAAGUUCCCCGAUUGCACAAAUUUACUAGAUGGAUGGCUCUGGUAUUAUGUGGCAUAAAUAGAAGCCAUGUUAAAUGUUAAGUAAACUUUACAAUGGGAGCACUUUCUGUGUAGGCAAAAUGACCGAAUCUGAAACUUCCAUAUACAUGAAUAUUUCCCGCACUAUCUUCUACUGUUAGGAACAAUGCCUCAAGUAAUUGUUGAACCAUCAUGUGCUAAUCUGCAGUCCCAAAUUUGAAGCAUAAUUUCCUUUAGUAUCUGCGAAUUGUCCUCACACCAACUCAAGACAAUUAGACCAAAGGCCAAUUAGACCAAAGGAAAAACAAUUUCCUGACAUACUCAGUGAAAAUACACCGUGCGAUAGCGUUUCGAGAAAUACUGUGCUAAUUUGCAUUCCCAAAUAGCAUACUUUAAGAGCCACGCUAUUUUGUCAUAGCAUGUUGUUUUUUUUUCAUUGGACAUACUGCACUCAUACUUUCUUGCAUAAUCAAUUUGAUUGAUAUAUCUUCUAUUGCAAACAAAUAUAUAAGCCAAAGAUGCAAAUUUAAUUAAGGUCCAUGAUUCAUGUAUUCUAUAUUUAAGAAAAUUCCAAAUAGACGGGCACGGCAACGCGUGCCAUCAAUGAUCUAGUUUCUCUGAUAAGCUGAAUAAAAUGUGGUGUUUUCUUUACCUCAGAUAUUUCCUUCAGGUUUUUAUGCUAGUCCUGGCUCAGCGCAGCCCACUAAACAAGAGAACUCAGAUAAAGGGCUUAAUGGGCCGAUAGGCCUAGCAGCAAAGACAACAAAUUCAGUUAAGUAAUUUUAGUUCCAUAGCAUAGAACCUAGCUCCAAGACAAUCCAUGGCAUAUAAAGGGGGAUUUUAUCAGUCAUGUCAUGCUCUAGUAAUUUAUACAGCAGCACAAGACCAUUUCAAGAAACCAUUAAAUGUAAUGAAGAACAAGUGUUUGAUGCAAAGGUUGUUGAUAUGAUCUAGCCGAACAGCGGACAAGAUUACAAACUAUAACUUCCACAAAAAGCAUACAGUUGAGGUCAACCCUUAAAAUUUAAAAUGAACCGACA